UCCACAAACAGGUAUGGAGCACAGAGAGC
RNAcentral lists this non-coding RNA (29 nucleotides) under Mus musculus (house mouse). The record is from RNAcentral. Lineage: Eukaryota; Metazoa; Chordata; Mammalia; Rodentia; Muridae.